Long non-coding RNA from Oxyura jamaicensis (ruddy duck), 1468 nucleotides. RefSeq lists it as uncharacterized. The record is from RefSeq and is a predicted model, not a curated record. Lineage: Eukaryota; Metazoa; Chordata; Aves; Anseriformes; Anatidae. The transcript is spliced from 2 exons.
CUUUCUCCUGGAAUAAAGGAACCCAUUUCCCUGGCGUUUCCUAACCACAGACCGGACUUGGCCUUAUGUCAGAUCGUUAGUGCCCUCUGCAGGCUCUGCAUAAGCGAAACAAACUUAACAAGGCUGGAUUUUGUUCUUCCAUAGAUGAAGUCGACUGUUACUAAUCCACAAAAUCGCAAUCGGACAAAAGGAGAUGGACACAAACACCAAGAAUACCGCUAAGCACAACGUAAGUGGAAAAACAGAACCUUAACAUGGAAAAUUCAGAAGGAUUGCAAGAUAUAUAUAUAUAUAUAUAUAUAUAUAUAAAUCAUUACAACCUCUUAGAAGUCUGAAAAAAACAUCUUAUCUGAAGGGAAGGGGCAUUUCAAAACACUGAGCCCAACCAAAAAGAUAACUACUACACUUCAGAAGUACCACGCGACUUUCACACAUCCAAAUCAAGUUACGGUAACUUUCUGAUGUGAAACACAAUGCGUGUCUCAGAGAAGUAUCUACCUCCCCAGACUUCCUACUUAACCCGUGGUAGAAGUACAUGUAUUUAGCACAUAACUGAAAUCUUUGAAAACAAAGCCAACAUUAAAAACUGAGGCCAUCCAGACAUCUUCAAGAUCUCUUUAGGAUUAUGUUUUGGAGAUUGUUAUACUUGAUUUUCUCAUCCAUUCUUAGAGUAAACUUGAAUUCAAGUACUAUUUAGCAGACCUUUGACCUGAUUCCACACAAACAGGUGGCAUCCAACCAGCCCAGCGUCACAGUCUGCAUCUUUUUUUUUACAAGCUCCUGCAGAAGAGGCCCCUGCCGCAUUUCCGCAAGACACAUGAUGACAAACACGACAAUUUAUCAUCCUGCUGAGCACCUUCAAAAACUCCAUGCCCUUUGAAAGUGGUCACCCAGAACUGAUCAUCUUCACUGUGAAAUAAAGAAUAGCUGAGGUCUAGUGCCCUGCUGAGCUGAAUGGGGAGCCUGUGAGGUCUGUUUAUCCUCAGUGCCUUUUUUUUUAUUAAAAAAAAAAAAAAAAUCGCAUGUCUAAGAAAAACACUUUUUUUGAUCCAAUGUGUUUUACUUAAUUCUGCACCACAUUGAAUACCAUUCGUCUUACUCUUGUAAGAAGUUUCAAAAAUUCUUGCAAGAAGUUUCAAAAAAUUAUCUUCAUAGAGAAGAACCUGUUUAAAAAUAAAGCCUUUCAACUAGUCCCUGCCACCUAAAAACCACGGCUAUUUCCGCUUCAUACACAGGACAUCACUGUUCAGUUGGCACCAAGACUGGUUUAAUCCAAGAGGGGUGUCACCAUUUUUGAGCUGUCAUACCUUACUGCUUCCAUGGCUGAAACAGAAUCUGCUGGUAUCUGUAACUGAAAUAGUAACUGAGCAGGGCUACAUUAUGUGCUGGCCUGGAAAAGCCUAAAUACUACAGAAAUCCGAAAAGGAGAAUACAAAAGAAUUUUAAGAGGACAGUGUAUUAAGCAGCU